CAACAGGCUACGGCUCUGAAAACCCAAUCAUUUUACCGACAAUACAUUGCUGUUAGAAAUGCAAUUGUUGUUACUGGAAUAACACAGGAAUGACGAAAGACGGUUGUAAACGGCUAACUACAUAAUUAUAUUGCAUAUACGCUCUGAUCCAACGAAUUGGGUUGACUGCUUAUUUUAUACGUAUUCAUCCCUAUUUUGUGGGAAAUUACCGUUGAAUUGUUUCAAUGGGCAACCAAUAGUUAAUAUAUAAUUCGCAUUUUUUUGUAUUAUUAGUACAUAAAAAGAGGGUACAGUAAAGUAAAAACUGACAUUAAGUUUUUUUAUUUGCCCUACUGUCAAAAAUAUUUGCACACUUGUGACGAGAGUAAGUAGCCACAUAAAACAAGAAUAGCCGUGUAUUUCGUAUCUUGACAACAUAUUAAUAUUUGUUGUUCUGGUAUUCUUUUAUAUUGCGAUUAAGCUUAUAAAGUUACAGAAUACAUGAGUUACAACGAAGUUGAACUAGAAAUGGCGAGUCGUAAUACACCUGAUAGUGUGACAGAAGACUCUCAGCGGAAGAGUGAAAAACCUUCAAGUAGUGCCUUCAAGCAACAGAAACUCCAAGCAUGGCAACCCAUACUUACAGCAGGAACUGUUUUACCAUCUUUCUUUAUAAUUGGGUUGGCAUUUAUUCCAAUCGGAAUAGGUUUACUUGUAUCUUCUAAUAAGGUUCAAGAGUUUCAACUAGAUUAUACUUACUGUUUAAAUGAAAAGGGAGAAGAAUGCGCUGAAGUCAUCAAGAAAAAUUUUAGAAACAAAUGCAUCUGUAAAAUUGAAUUCAAUCUUACUGAAGAUUUUGAGCGAAAUGUUUUUGUGUAUUAUGGACUUACCAACUAUUAUCAGAAUCACAGACGAUACGUCAAAUCAAGAGAUGACCAACAGCUUCUGGGGAAAGUCACUGACACAUUAUCUGCAGACUGUAAACCAUUUGCAUAUGUUGAAAACAGCACCUACAAGACACCAAUUGCUCCUUGUGGAGCCAUAGCCAACAGUUUGUUCAAUGAUACUAUAACACUAAAGCUUCAAGGUAAUAAAGAAGUGGAAGUUCCACUGUUGAACACAGGAAUUGCUUGGCCUACAGAUACCACUGUUAAGUUUCAGAAUCCACCAGGAGAUGUGAGUACAGGAGAAGCCUUUACGAAAACUGCUAAACCACUCAACUGGGACAGACCUGUUUGGCAGCUAGACCCUUCUCACUCAGAAAAUAAUGGAUACCAGAAUGAAGAUCUGAUUGUAUGGAUGCGUAAUGCAGCCUUGCCUACUUUCCGCAAGCUGUACCGCAGGGUUGAUCACGAGAAGGAAGGAUUCAAGAAUCAUCUUCCUAAAGGCAUAUAUAACUUGAUUGUCCAGUACACUUAUCCUGUGACCUCUUUCAAAGGGACCAAACGAUUGAUAUUAUCCAACACCACCUGGUUGGGUGGAAAGAACCCAUUUUUAGGAAUAACCUAUAUUGUUGUUGGUAGUAUUUGCCUUAUCCUAUCAAUUAUGUUUCUAGUAAUCCACAAAAAAUUUGGCAAAAGCCCUCAUGACGUAAUGGGAAACAUUACUGAAAGAACUCCUUACUGACAUCAUACAUCUGUUUUAAUUCCAAGAUCCUGGUUGGAUUUAGAAGAACUGAUCAUUACCUUCACAAUCCAUUAUUUUGAAUGUGUAGAGAAUUAGCCACUUUUAGAUAGAUUUUUAAGUCACUUUGCUGAAAAGAAAAUUAAAAUUGAGCUUCAAAUCGGUUAGGGUGCAAGUAUCCGAAACACCGUGGGAAGAUGAAACCCGCAGAGCUGACCUCUAGCGACUUAUGGAUUUUGGAAUUUCAUCAUGUAGUUGGAAUAAACAUCUGAAUAUCAAUGUUUAUAAGACUGCAUUCAUGUGCAGAAUUUUAAAAUAAAAACAGAAAACUUAGAGAAAAUAAUUGUUUGUUUAUGAAACGAACUACAUAUCACAUAAAAAUUAAGAUUAAUUUUAAUUCUGUUUUUUUUUGUUUUCCUUACCUGUCUAGUCAAAUCGGUUGAGAUUAUUUUAUCUCUUUGUUGUACUUAACUUUACAUUUAAUUAUGCGUUGGUAAUUUUUUCACCAGUUAUUUUUUAUUU
This 2124-nucleotide unclassified non-coding RNA is filed under the name Limulus polyphemus (Atlantic horseshoe crab). RNAcentral describes it as "cell cycle control protein 50A-like, transcript variant X1". The record is from RNAcentral. Lineage: Eukaryota; Metazoa; Arthropoda; Merostomata; Xiphosura; Limulidae.